Molecule: ribosomal RNA, 420 nt
Filed under: uncultured bacterium
Lineage: Bacteria
Description: bacterial SSU rRNA
Rfam family: Bacterial small subunit ribosomal RNA
Source: RNAcentral
GAGGAAUAUUGGUCAAUGGACGCAAGUCUGAACCAGCCACGUCGCGUGAAGGAAGACGGCCCUACGGGUUGUAAACUUCUUUUAUACGGGAAUAAAGUGCCCCACGCGUGGGGUUUUGCAUGUACCGUAUGAAUAAGGAUCGGCUAACUCCGUGCCAGCAGCCGCGGUAAUACGGAGGAUCCGAGCGUUAUCCGGAUUUAUUGGGUUUAAAGGGUGCUCAGGCGGGGGAUUAAGUCGGCGGUGAAAUUUUGCAGCUCAACUGUAAAAGUGCCUUCGAAACUGGUUUCCUUGAGUGUGGAUGAGGUAGGCGGAAUUUGUGGUGUAGCGGUGAAAUGCAUAGAUAUCACGAGGAACUCCGAUUGCGCAGGCAGCUUACUAAACCAUAACUGACGCUCAAGCACGAAGGCGUGGGGAUCAAAC